GUGAUUGCUUUGGCAGCACAUAUACUAAACUUGGAAUGAUACAGAGAAGAUUAGCAAGGCCCCUGUGCAAGGAUGACACGCAAAUUCGUGAAGCGUUCCAUUUUUUG
RNAcentral lists this small nuclear RNA (107 nucleotides) under Cavia aperea (Brazilian guinea pig). The record is from RNAcentral. Lineage: Eukaryota; Metazoa; Chordata; Mammalia; Rodentia; Caviidae.